Molecule: ribosomal RNA, 279 nt
Filed under: uncultured bacterium
Lineage: Bacteria
Description: partial 16S ribosomal RNA
Rfam family: Bacterial small subunit ribosomal RNA
Source: RNAcentral
UGCCAGCCGCCGCGGUAAUACGGAGGGUGCGAGCGUUAAUCGGAAUUACUGGGCGUAAAGCGCGCGUAGGUGGUCUGUUAAGUCGGAUGUGAAAGCCCUGGGCUCAACCUGGGAACUGCAUUUAGAACUGGCAGGCUAGAGUACAAGAGAGGGUGGUGGAAUUUCCAAUGUAGCGGUGAAAUGCGUAGAUAUUGGAAGGAACAUCAGUGGCGAAGGCGGCCACCUGGAUUGAUACUGACGCUGAGGUGCGAAAGCGUGGGGAGCGAACGGGAUUAGAUA